RNAcentral lists this ribosomal RNA (399 nucleotides) under uncultured bacterium. RNAcentral's name for it is "bacterial SSU rRNA". It matches the Rfam family "Bacterial small subunit ribosomal RNA", at positions 28 to 420 of the family's 1533-position model. The record is from RNAcentral.
GACGAACGCUGGCGGCGUGCUUAACACAUGCAAGUGGCGCGACGAACCAGGGCUUGCCCUGGGGCAGAGCCGCGAACGGGUGAGUAACACGUGGGCAACCUGCCCCGAUGACUGGGACAACCCGGGGAAACCCGGGCUAAUACCGGAUGUGCCCGCUCCACACCAGUGGAGCGUGUAAAGGAAGCUUCGGCCUCCGCAUUGGGAUGGGCCCGCGGCCCAUUAGCUUGUUGGUGAGGUGANGGCCUACCAAGGCGACGACGGGUAGCCGGCCUGAGAGGGCGACCGGCCACACUGGGACUAAGACACGGCCCAGACUCCUACGGGAGGCAGCAGUGGGGAAUCUUGCGCAAUGGGCGAAAGCCUGACGCAGCGACGCCGCGUGAGGGAUGACGGCCUGGU